UCUCCCUCUUACCAUCUCACUCUAUCUCCCUUCCUCUUCCCCAAUCCUCCCCCAUCCUUCUCUCUUCCCAUCUCACUUUUCCGCACUCCACCCCUCUCUCUCCCCCCUCGCCUACUUCCUCCUCCUCUCCUCUCCCACCUUCUCUCGGACGCGGAGAGAGAUGCCGCGCUGGGCCCGAGGCCUCGGACUGGCGUUGUCGGGCCAGCGAGAUGAUCGUAGGCAAUUGGAUCAACCCAUUUCCCAGGAGGAAGUUGCUCAGGCUGUUCAAGAAUAGCAUUCUGGGAAAUCCCCAGGACCCGAUGGAUUCUCUGGAGAGUUUUAUUAGGCUUUUUCCUUCUUGCCUAUACCACACUUAUGUUCUACCCUUACAGAUUCCUUUAAGGCAUUCACAGUAGAGCGAAGAAAUACAAUAGAAUUAAUGAAAAAUACAAAGAUUGACAAGCAGCCAAAGUGCAAGACAAGCUCUGCAAAUAAACAAACAAAU
Mobula hypostoma (lesser devil ray) is the source of this 484-nucleotide long non-coding RNA. RefSeq lists it as uncharacterized. NCBI's taxonomy places the organism in Eukaryota, Metazoa, Chordata, Chondrichthyes, Myliobatiformes, Myliobatidae. The record is from RefSeq and is a predicted model, not a curated record. The transcript is spliced from 3 exons.